Molecule: non-coding RNA, 45 nt
Organism: Schistosoma mansoni
Lineage: Eukaryota; Metazoa; Platyhelminthes; Trematoda; Strigeidida; Schistosomatidae
Source: Rfam
AUCCAUCUGACGAGUCCAAAAUAGGACUUGAAGCGCGUCCUGGAU